AUUCUUUGUGAUGUAUCUCAUCAACAAAGAUGAAACAGAGCACACAGGCCAGGAGUCUUACGUAUGGAAGAUGUACCAGGAGCGCUGCUGGGAGUUUUUCCCUGCUGGAGACUGUUUCCGGAAGCAGUACGAGGAUCAGCUGAACUGACCUGUUGCUCAGACUCUUCCUUCAGACUGUAACCUCUGAAGGCCCUCGCCUCCUCAAACCUUUCUUACUGCGCUCCACGGAGCCCCUGUUCUACUGACGAAGGGUUCUACUCUGACAUUCUGAUAGGAUCUACUCUACAGGACCCCCCCAAGCCUUUCUCACAGCUCUUCCUCAUCCAGACACUCAACUCGCCAUCUCUGCCCCAACACCCAGCACACUUUUUUUGGAAUGCUUUGAACUCUGACGUUGUACAUAGAAAAUAUUAGAGUAUAUGCUGUACAGAAUGUGACUGGUAGCACGUCAAGGAUUAUGGCUUGAUCUUGUUCUACAUUCACAGUGUCAAGCAAAAAAUACUAAGGAAUAAGGAGCACGAGUAAAAAGAAGGACCAAGGGACAGAGGAGAGUGGGGGACGAUUGUUCCUGAAGGACAAUUAUUGACAAACAGAGAGCAGGCAUUAGUAUGACGAGUUUAUCACUAAUGUGUAAAAUGCACGUUGCAUGUAGGGACAGGGGGUGGACGUUAAAAAAGGAACACCUGUACAACCCUGCUGUAAUCCAACACAACAGCUCUGCAAUAAUCACAACUUUGAGGAGAGUGUGUGUCCACCUUAGUCUUAGAGGUGAGUGCUUUGAUUCAACUCUGAAGUGUUUUUAGUUUGUGCUACAUGUCAGGUAGGGAGAAUAAGGUCUGGAAUCCAAACACCAUCAAACUCAAAGUCAAAGUCUCCACAAUGACUGCACAGUGGAAUCUACACCUCCGUCAGCACCCCCCGCACAUCCUGGUCCUCCUCACAGGGCCACUGUACUGGAUUUAAGUAAAGUAAAGAAGCGCCCCUCCACUCAGUGUUUACAUCGCAAGCUACGUAAUCAACAGUCCAUUUGUCCAGUGGAGCUGAAACUCAGCAACAAGUCACAAUCCUCCUCAGCAACAAGUCACAAUCCUCCUCAGCAACAAGUCACAAUCCUCCUCAGCAGCAAGUCACAAUCCUCCUCAGCAACAAGUCACAAUCCUCCUCAGCAACAAGUCACAAUCCUCCUCAGCAGCAAGUCACAAUCCUCCUCAGCAACAAGUCACAAUCCUCCUCAGCAGCAAGUCACAAUCCUCCUCAGCAAGUUAUCUGCAUCUUUUUUUAAAGAUCACAGAAAUAAAUCAAUGUCACCAAAUCUGAGCUUGCAAAAGUAGAUGUUUGCCUUGGUAUAAGCCUGGACUUAGAAAGUGUGUCCGUCCAACCAUUAUCACACCUGACACCCCCACAAGCCUUUGGUGUCACUGCUGGUCAAGGCUCAACAGCUGAUACAUGUUCAGCAUGUGUUCUGUUUGUUAUUGAUCACAAAGCCUCUGCGUGUGACCAGAGGCGCCUCUUUUUCAAUCUAUUCUACAUAAUUAGGGCUUGCUCCGUACAUUUAGUAAUCAAAUUAUGGUUAGGUUUUAUAAAAAGCAAUAACAAAGCAGCAGGGGGGGGGGGAGUUAUGCGAGUUAUGCAAGCUCCAGGAGACAGAGGAAUGUCAAAGAGCUUCAAGGAAGUGAUUGUAAAGACUGAGGAGUCCACAUGGUGUUCAUGGGGAGUGGACUCACUGCAAACGGGAAAUUAUUCAACCUCUCAAAGAUUCAACUCAGCAUUCACAUGUAUAUAGGCUGCCAUACAAGGUGCACCUGCUCUCACACACACACACACACACACACACACACACACACACACACACACACACACACACACACACACACACACACACACACACACACACACACAAUGGUGGCCAUCAGGAGCAAUCUGGUAUCUUGCCCAAGGAAGCUUCAACAUGUUUACAUGGAAUCUAACAACACAUUCAGAUCAUGUAAUGCAGUGCAAAGAGAGGUGUUACAAUUGAAACAUUUAAAUCCUGUUUUAUUAUACCAGUCUGUCAGAUGACAUUUUAAUAGUCAUGCAAAGUUCUGGAUUUUAGAGACACUCACAGUUGCCAGUUAAUCAGCUAUAGCUAGCUAAAUGAAGGCGUUUAAUCAGCUCGUACAAAACACUUUUUGUUAAAGAGUUUUAGAGGUGUUGAUUCAACUGUAUCAUUUUGGAGACAGACGUUUCUGUUGCUGCUUUUGGUGUUUGUAAUAUUUAAUGACUGCGAAUAAUGAAUAUAAAUGAGUAUGAUUAAAUAUUAGAAGCACCUCUAACUGAGUUACAAUACGUGUUUGGUCUGCCGGGGAACAGUUUACAUUAUUUGUGAUGCUGCCAUUACGACCACUUUACAGAUGGACUCAUCCUCAAGGCUUGGUUUUGUUUUAUUGCAGACACACAAACUGUAUACAUCCUGUCACGAGCAAUAUAGGAAUCAACAUGGAGACAUAACCCUCAUACAGGAACACGUGUUGGAUUUUAUGCUUUUUUUUCAACUUUGUAUUUUAAUUGUUCCACCCCUCGAUGCAAAUCAGCAAAGAUUACUGAUAGAGUUUAAGUAGAAGCUUCCAUGAGAAACAUUUCAUUACUACAACAUGUAACCCUAUAGGAGUUGGGUGUGCCAUGAAUGAUAUGAUUAUAAUGAUCCUUUCUAUUGAUGUUCACUGAAGCAUUCCUCUGAUUGGCAGUGUGUUAAUUGAACGAAUGCUGUCCUGGAAACAUUUGAAAUCAGAAUGGUUUGUGGGAUUUGUUCGUUUUUGUGGUGAUGAUCUUAUGCAAUACAGCAAAGAGAGUUACUCUUUUUGUUUAGACAUUCUCCAAGAAUAUCUCAGAAAAAAUGCCAUUGCAUGUUUAUUAUGCGGGUUUGAUAAAAAAAAGUAUUACAUAGAAACUAAAUCUAUGUCACCCAUAAAUUGUUUAAUAUAUAUAAUAUAUUAUUUAAGAUGAAUUAAGAUGUUGGUAUUAUUGUAUUUAAGUGUUGUGGGCUUCAUUGUAACUCUUCUAGUCCUUUACCACAAGUGCAUCCCAAAAAGGAAGGGGCUUCUGCUUUCUGUUGGUCUCUGAGAGGAAGCUUUAGUAUGCUUUCAUUCAGGCUCAAGCAAUAGCCACAGUGAGUGUAUGGGGAGACUGACCAUUGUACAUUGCAAACAAAGGCAAAACAAAUAAAGCUUGCUUAACUUUGUCUCAAUUUAAAAUAAAAUUAUUUAUUCAUUUUUUAUCUAUGUAUUUUAUUUGCUAAACAAACAAUGUUGUGGAGAUAAACCUGAAGUUGACCACUUAAUGUUAAAGUUGCAAUAUAUAAACAUUACAAUGUGGCUCUUUCCACAUAACCAUGUCAUGCUGCCUGACACUCAUCCUCCUUCAGAUCUAUCCCACGGUCGGUGGUCCUACUUUGUAAACCUUUUGAGAAUGUUACAUUUCCCCGGGCUACGCAUCAUAUCUACACUUGGUUAAAAGUCACAAAUUAGGAUCAUGUUUCUAUAAUUGCUAAACUAUACAUUUUGAAAACACAGCAUUAUUAUUAUAACGUGAAAUUAUUCCAUGGACAGAGCCAGCUCUGUGAUUGGCUGCCUACUCAUUCAGACCCAAGCAACAGCCAAUCACAGAGCUCUGCCUGACCUGUCACAAUACAACUUUGCUAAGGGCAUUUUUACAUCAGAAUGGAUAUAAUUCCAUGUUGUAUUCAUUAUUAAAAGCAGUUUAAAACGGUGUUAUUUAAAUGUAAGAUAUUUUGGUUGUAUUUAUUAAUAAUAUUUAUUUCAUAAUGACUGAUUAAAUAUUGACUAUAUUGGCUCUAUAAUAAGUGAUCUACAGUAUGAUGCAGUGAGCGACAUACAGUAAGCUAGCUCAUGUUUUUGCUGUGACAAAUGUCGGCUCACCACAGCUUAUUAUGUCCUAAUAAGAGCACUGUGAAAACAUGAAUGGAUCUGAUCUGCUGGAGAGCCAUCUCUACUGAUCGCACCUUUAAAGAUGUGUGAGGAUGCAUGAGUGCUAUUGUUUAGCACCGAUGACUCUGAACAGUGUUACAAUUGUAACAGACAUGUGUGUAUAUACAUCAAGUAUAUAGCAUUGCGUUCAUUAUGCCAUACUGAUGUCAUGCCUAUACUUUUUAGUUUUUAUUUUCAUUGCAAUGCAACAUCAGAGAGUAUGCCAUUUCUGAGUGGUAUUUUGCUAAUGUAAAAAUAAACAUUUUCCAUAUCGA
Molecule: long non-coding RNA, 4237 nt
Organism: Notothenia coriiceps (black rockcod)
Lineage: Eukaryota; Metazoa; Chordata; Actinopteri; Perciformes; Nototheniidae
Exons: 2
Source: RefSeq, a predicted model, not a curated record